This 301-nucleotide ribosomal RNA is filed under the name uncultured bacterium. RNAcentral describes it as "partial 16S ribosomal RNA". It matches the Rfam family "Bacterial small subunit ribosomal RNA", at positions 509 to 807 of the family's 1533-position model. The record is from RNAcentral.
CAGUAGCCGCGGGAAUACGUAGGUGGCAAGCGUUGUCCGGAAUUAUUGGGCGUAAAGGGCUCGCAGGCGGUUUCCUAAGUCUGAUGUGAAAGCCCCCGGCUCAACCGGGGAGGGUCAUUGGAAACUGGGAAACUUGAGUGCAGAAGAGGAGAGUGGAAUUCCACGUGUAGCGGUGAAAUGCGUAGAGAUGUGGAGGAACACCAGUGGCGAAGGCGACUCUCUGGUCUGUAACUGACGCUGAGGAGCGAAAGCGUGGGGAGCGAACAGGAUUAGAUACCCCUGUAGUCCCUGUCUCUUAUAC